Puntigrus tetrazona (Sumatra barb) is the source of this 634-nucleotide long non-coding RNA. RefSeq lists it as uncharacterized. The transcript has 3 exons. The record is from RefSeq and is a predicted model, not a curated record. Lineage: Eukaryota; Metazoa; Chordata; Actinopteri; Cypriniformes; Cyprinidae.
UGUGUGUGUGUGUGUGUGUGUUGGUUUUUGUGGUUUACAAGGACUUUUGACCUGAAUACGUACCAGCAUUACAAGGACAUUUGGGUUUAUGAGGACAGGGACCAUGUCCUUAUAAUUCCGACAGUGUAUAUGCCUUUCUCUAUGUCCCAGAAGUUCCCUCUCAAAUUUUCGCGCUAUGUCCUAACAUACCACAAAACCAUGAAAUUUUACUAUACACAGUGUAUCCUCUGAGCUCGUGAGUGCGCCCCUGCAGCCCGGACGCGGUACUACAACUACGUCUUCGAAAAUUUGCAUAUUUUACGCUUGUGUAAGUUUGGAGGGCGCUGAUUGGCUAAUCGCGAAAACAAGAUGGCGCCGGUGGGCGUGGUUACAAUUUGCCGAAAUUUUUAACUUUGAAGAAAGCGAGCGUGACGUUUUGUAACUUCCUGUUUGAUCCUGACGGAAUCUCUGCACCUAGAGAAGACACCUGUGAUGUGAACCUGUUUGAGACGACCAUUAUAUGAAAGCAGACACAUCAAAUGAUGGCUGAAGUGAAAAGGAGAAGGAGAAAACUGAAGCCAGUUGAUGAGGCCAUACAGUUUUCACUACUACAGAAAGACAAAUCUGGUCUUGAAGGAGGAUUCAUCAAUGAUUU